RNAcentral lists this ribosomal RNA (372 nucleotides) under uncultured organism. RNAcentral describes it as "bacterial SSU rRNA". It matches the Rfam family "Bacterial small subunit ribosomal RNA", at positions 527 to 896 of the family's 1533-position model. The record is from RNAcentral.
GUAGGUGGCAAGCGUUGUCCGGAAUUAUUGGGCGUAAAGCGCGCGCAGGCGGAAAUUUAAGUCUAUCUUAAAAGUGCGGGGCUCAACCCCCGUGAUGGGAUAGAAACUGGAUUUCUUGAGUGUCGGAGAGGACAGUGGAAUUCCCAGUGUAGCGGUGAAAUGCGUAGAUAUUGGGAGGAACACCAGUGGCGAAGGCGACUGUCUGGACGAUGUCUGACGCUGAGGCGCGAAAGCCAGGGUAGUGAACGGGAUUAGAUACCCCGGUAAUCCUGGCCGUAAACGAUGGGUACUAGGUGUUGGGGGUAUCGGACCCCUCCAGUGCCGGAGUUAACGCAAUAAGUACCCCGCCUGGGGAGUACGGCCGCAAGGUUG